RNAcentral lists this long non-coding RNA (5443 nucleotides) under Homo sapiens (human). RNAcentral describes it as "HSALNT0052735". The record is from RNAcentral. Lineage: Eukaryota; Metazoa; Chordata; Mammalia; Primates; Hominidae.
AUGAAAUAAAUGACGGCAGAGGACGUUUGAAGGCGGCCCCGGCCCGAGGACAGAAGUCCCCGGCCAGCCGUGCUGGGGUGGGGGAGGGCCGAGGGUGGGGACGGGGAUCUGGGGCCGCUCACAUGCAAAUGCGCCGGGACAAUCCGGCCGGGCGCCUCUGCGCCUCCGGGAGGCCGAGGCAGGAACAAAGCAUUAGCAUUUUCUACAUGUGAAAGGCCUGCAUUCCUGGGCGGGGAGGCCCCCGGGGCGCCGCCCCCCUCUUCCCAUUCACACUCGGGACCACACAGAGCGCCUCUCGCGCCAAAAGCUCCGAGGUUCGUUUCAGCUUUUCUUUUCAUCCGAGCGAUGCAUACGAAAUGUAGAUAUUUCCCUAAACGCCGGCUUUGACAUUUAAUGCGAUCCUAAGUAGUCUGAAAUGUGGACGGGAUUAGGAGGAGGCUGGGGGCCCACAGGGACACUUGGCCAAAUCCCCCUAAAUCCUCCAGGACAAUUGUUUGUCACCACACGGAUUCCUAUUGCCCCAAAUGAGGGGGCUAAUGAACUUCGCUGCCUCCUCCCGUCGCAGCCCCACUCCCACCCUGGAGCCUGCAUUUCUGCCCAGUCCUUUCUAGGAAGAAAGGGAAGAUGAAUUUUUAAAUUGCAAGUUUUCUGCAUGGGUUUGGUUACUUUAGUCCAGGCCAAGUUGACUUGGAGGAUUGACUUUGACCAGUAACUAACCCACCCGUCCCGGGCUACUAUUUAACUCUCACUCCAUAAAGGCGCAGAGGUCAAGGAUGCUGAGGCCCUGUGAAUCUUGGGCUUAUGUUAAUAGGCCUUCACCACCUUGAAAGAAGUAGGCCCUGGGUGUCGUUGCCAGGCCUAGAAAGGACAUGUCACCAAAAAUUCUGUUUAGCAGGCUUUAUUGUUCACCUAGAACAAUCCACACACUGUAUAAUGCACAGCCUGUCUUCAAAGGUACUUACAAUCCAGUAGGGGAAAGAAAAUGGUCAACAAAGAACACGUCAUGAAAGACAUGCGCUUGCAGAUUUGCCUAGUUACUAUGGGGCUGAAACAAAAAAGCUUCUGGGACCAGAGCAUGCCCUCAGUAAGCAUGUGUGAAAUGAAGAGUGGGGGCAUAAGAGGAAAUCCCUUGGAGGAGGAUAGGGCUAUGGAGAGGCAGUGUGGGAUGCCCAGGAUGUUGACACAUUAAAACUGGAAGGGAGAAAAUUUUAGGCAGCAGAAGAGACUGAAGCAAAGCUCUGAGGGUAGGAAAUGGUGACUCCUUUUAGGGGAUGGCAGAGAAUCCAGUGGUGGAACAAAUGGGGCAUAAGGGAGGGAUUAAUAGUAGCUAAACUGGGUGUGGUGGCUCAUGCCUGUAAUUCCAGCACUUUGGGAGGUGGGAGGAUCACUUGAGGCCACGAGUUUGAGACCAGCCUGGGCAACAUAGUGAGACAUUGUCUCUGCUUUAAAAAAAGAAAAAGGCUAAGUAGGAAGGGCAGAAAGAGACCUUCAGGUAUCCCUGAAGCAACCCCUAGGCAGGAGCCAGAGCUGUGCUAUAGGAAGUUACAGGCUGUGGUGAGGAAGAAAGGGUGGGAGAAGGAAUCUGAGGCAAGGAGACCGGGUACCUCUUGUCAUCACAAGAUGAGGUCCUGGGCAAGGCAGGAAAGAAUAGGAUGAGAACACAGGAUGCCACUAGGUGUUGAGCAAAUCAAAAGUGAAGGAGGACUGGGUGCAGUGGUUUGCACUUGUAGUCCCAGCUACUAGGGAAACUGAGGUGGGAAGAUCAUUUGAACCCAGGAGUCUGAGGCCAGCCUGGACAACAUAGUGAGACUCCGUCUCAGAAAAAAAGUGAAGGAGGUGGUAAUUUAUCUCAAGGAGUCCCCCUCCAUUCCCCACUGUCCAGCCUCAGUGCUGUUAUAUAAUCUUUGCUUUGAUAUCACUUUUACAUGAUACAGUGAAAAUUAUGGUGUUCCCUUUCAAACAUUUGGGAGUUCAAGGCACAUUCAGCAAUGGUACAAUGGCCGCACCCUUAAACAUCAUUCUAAUCCUAUGAAUUAGUAUCCCCAUUUUACAGAUGAAGAAACUCAGGCACAAAGAAGCAAAGCAACUUGUUUCAUAUCAAAAUUGUUCCAGAGAGAGAACCAAGAUUUGAAGCCAGUCGGGCUAGAGGGUCCAUGAUGUCAUCAGUCACUUUUCUCCAGGUGGCUUCCAAGAACAGGGAGGAAUGAGAGAGACUCAGAGGUAGCACUGAGAUGAAGGAAGUACAGAGGGAGACUGGGCUGAGCAGGCCCUUUCGGUAACAAGAGGGAUAAGUGAACUCACCUGUAUUAAGUGUCCACCAGGCACACUUUGCAUGCAUCAUCUCAUUUUAAUCCUCACACUAGGCCCUGAAGAAAAGCAUUUUACAAACUGGUCAAAAAACCUCAAGAGAGAUGAAGUCAUUUGCUCAAAGUCACUUAGAUUGAGUAAGGGCAGAGCUGUCAGAAAACUAGUCAGAAAGGGACUAUGAGAGGUGACACUCUGAUAUGAAAGAGGAGGCGGAGGGUGCAUAGUUUCCACAUGCAGGCAGAUGGCAGUGCAUUGGGCAAGGCCAUGCAAGGUUGCUGGCCUGUGUUCCAGUCAAGGGCAUGGCUUUAACAGAGCUCUGCAGGAGGCUGUUAAGGGCCGGAGGGCACAAGGGAAGACUACUACAGCUGUUCUGAGGGUUCAUGCCAUGUGGUUUGGGAGACACUUGCAACAACAUCCUCCUGGGUCCAUGAAGAAAUUCAUGAGGUCGAUUUUGUCCCGUAUUGUAGAUGAUGCAGCUGAAUGAGUGGUAGAGCUUCAAUAGACCUAAUGGCUCUCAGAAUUCAAAACCCCAGCAAAGGCCAGGCACGGUGGCUGAUGCCUGUAAUCCCAGCACUUUGGGGGGCUGAGGCAGGUGGAUAGCUUGAGCUCAGGAGUUUGAGAUCAGCCUGGGCAACAUAGCGAAAACCCGCUUCUACAAAAAAUACAAAACUGGGCAUGGUGGCUCUUGCCUGUAGUCCCAGCUACUCGGGAGACUGAGGUGGGAGGACCACUUGAGCCCAGGAGGUCCAGGUUGCACUGAGCCUUGAUAGAGCCACUGCAACAUUUGCCUGGGCAACAAAGCAAGACCAUAGAACAACAACAACAACAAAACCCAAAAACCUAAAAACGUAAACCCCAGCAAAUAAGUUGCCAUAUUUUGAGACUGAUGCCUAUGGUUCUCAUAUCUGCUAAAUUCCAGAAAACCAUAUACCAUAGAAGAAACUGUAUUUACCAGGGAAGAUACAAAGGGGGAAGAAACUGGGAACAACCAGGAAAAACUUUAGUAAGUGACAUUUAAAUCCUUUUUUUUUUUUUUUUUUAGACAAGAGUCUUGCCCUGUCACCCAGGCUGGAGUGUAGUGGCACGAUCCUGGCUCACUGGAACCUCCAUCUACCAGGUUCAAGUGCUUCUCCUGCCUCAGCCUCCCGAGUAGCUGGGAUUACAGGCACCCGCCACCACGCCCAGUUAAUUUUUAUAUUUUAGUAGAGACGGGGAUUUCGCCAUAUUAGCCAGGUUGGUCUCGAACUCCUGACUUCAAAUGAUCCACCCGCCUUGGCCUCCCAGAGUGCUGGGAUGACAGGCGUAAACCACCAAACAUGGCCAAAAGCCUUUUUGUAUAGAUAGGGUUGUUACUAGAAAGGGGUCCCGAUCUAGACUCCAAGAGAAUUCAGAAAGACUUCAGCGUAAGUCUGUAAAGUGAAAGCAAGUUUAUUAAGAAAGUAAAGGAAUAAAGAAUGGCUACUACACAGGCAGAACAGCCCUGAGAGCUGCUGGUUGCCCAUUUUUAUGGUUAUUUCUUGAUGAUGUGCUAAACAAUGGGUGGAUUAUUCAUGUUUCCCCUUUUUAGACCAUAUAGAGUAACUUCCCAAUGUUGCCAUGGCAUUUGUAAACUGUUAUGGCGCUGGUGGGAGUGUAGCAGUGAGGAUGUCACUCUCAUCACCAUCUUGGUUUUGGUGGGUCUUAGCUGGCUUCUUUACUGCAACCUGUUUUAUCAGCAAGGUCUUUAUGACCUGUAUCUUGUGCUGCCCUAUCUCAUCCUGUGACUUAGAAUGCCUUAAGCCUUAACCACAUGGGAAUGCAGCCCAGUAGCUUUCAGCCUUAUUUUACCCAGCUCCCAUUUAAGAUGGAGUUGCUCUGGUUCAAACCCCUCUGACAGAGUUACCUCAGUUAGCAGAGGUGGCUUUAACAAAAUGGGGCAGGAAAAAUAGGUGGGAAGAAGCCUUCCUGGCUAUGGGAACCAGUAUGAGUCCAGACACAGAGGUGAAGAACUUAUAUUUAAUUUGCUGGGCUCUGCUGACAGUAGGCAGUGGAAGGAAAAGCUGAGCUGCUGGAACAUUAAUCUGAAAAACACUGAAUUGGCCUCCCUUAGGAUGUGCAGGGCUAUGCCAGCAACUGCAGCAGGCAUGGUUAUGACAUCUUUGCCAGGCUUCCCUGCAGCUUAGGAUGGCUCCAUGACAUGAUGUGACAAAAGAGAUGUUAAGCUCAAGGCUGCUGAGGUUUCUAAGAAAGUUUUGUUCCAGAUAGUCUCCCAUCAAGAUUAGCUAGUUUUUGCCCUGUUUUUCUUGCCUUCAAUGUUGAUGUGAUACUGGAAUAUCUUGUGACUAUGGAAACAAAUGCCCAAAUGCUGAGGACAGUGGCAUGGAAAAACAGAGCUGAGUCCUGGAUGGCAUCACGGGACACUAGAACCCAGGCCAGCAGCUGCCUUCAUAUCCCCUUCUCAAGUGAGAGAAAAAUAAUCUUUAAGUCACAGACCUAUUUUUUGCUACUUGCAGCCAAAUAUAGUCUUAUUUAAUAUAGGACCUGCCCUACCCUUACUAGGUAUUGCCUGCUUUCCCAUAAACAAACCAGCAUGCAGAGAAAGUUCUAAUUUCUUGAUUUCUCUAAAGAUGUGUUUUUUUGAAGUACAAUUAUAGGGCUUUUCCCCUUCAUACUACCAUGACUAUGUGAGUUCCUAGCGAUUUAUGAAGUCUGUGGACUCACUCUCCAGAAAAUUCCCAGGCAAAGCAAUUCUGCUCAUUUGAGUGGGUCUCACAGUACUGCUGUCGGUCUGGAGUAUGGGAAAGCAGAGACGGCAGACUUAAACCAACAGCAGUGCAGAUUACGGGUCCUAUGGUCCUACUUAGAAGGGGCUUCAAGAGGUCCAAGGAAGCUAGGCUAUCUCUGCUUUCUGUGUCCACCUGUAAAAAUCUACUCUGUGUACAAAACAACUACAAUGUGGCACUCGAUCAAUGGAGCCCCUACAUCCAUCCAUCCAUGUUUAAAAAGAGGAGGAUAUUCUCCCCUUCUUUGAGUCUGUUGGCAAUGCCUAUCUCAGUCACAAAUAUUCAGUUCUAGUAUAUAUCAUUACCUGAGUUCCGCUUCCUGUCAGCAACAGAAUAAUUCAGAUAGGCUGGGCUCGAUGGCUCACGCCUGUAAU